UUGGAGGGCAAGUCUGGUGCCAGCAGCCGCGGUAAUUCCAGCUCCAAUAGCGUAUAUUAAAGUUGUUGCAGUUAAAAAGCUCGUAGUUGAAUUUCGGGAUCAAUUUGUCGGUCGUGCCUCGGUACGUACUGGUAUUAUUGGUUUCUACCUUCUGAAGAACCUUGAUGUCAUUAAUUUGGUGUCUUGGGGAAUCAGGACUGUUACUUUGAAAAAAUUAGAGUGUUUAAAGCAAGCAUACGCUUGAAUACAUUAGCAUGGAAUAAUGAAAUAGGACGUUUGAUUCUAUUUUGUUGGUUUCUAGGAUCGACGUAAUGAUUAAUAGGGAUAGUUGGGGGCAUUAGUAUUCAAUUGUCAGAGGUGAAAUUCUUGGAUUUAUUGAAGACUAACUACUGCGAAAGCAUUUGCCAAGGAUGUUUUCAUUAAUCAAGAACGAAAGUUAGGGGAUCGAAGACGAUCAGAUACCGUCGUAGUCUUAACCAUAAACUAUGCCGACUAGGGAUCGGAUGAUGUUAAUUUUUUAAUGACUCAUUCGGCGCCUUACGGGAAAC
Molecule: ribosomal RNA, 548 nt
Filed under: uncultured Glomus
Lineage: Eukaryota; Fungi; Glomeromycota; Glomeromycetes; Glomerales; Glomeraceae
Description: SSU rRNA
Rfam family: Eukaryotic small subunit ribosomal RNA
Source: RNAcentral